This 386-nucleotide ribosomal RNA is filed under the name uncultured bacterium. RNAcentral describes it as "bacterial SSU rRNA". It matches the Rfam family "Bacterial small subunit ribosomal RNA", at positions 102 to 520 of the family's 1533-position model. The record is from RNAcentral.
ACGGGUGAGUAACACGUGAAUCAUCUACCUUCGAGUGGGGAAUAACUGAGAGAAAUCUUAGCUAAUACCGCAUAAUACCUACGGGUCAAAGCAGCAAUGCGCUUGAAGAGGAGUUCGCGGCAGAUUAGUUAGUUGGCGGGGUAAUGGCCCACCAAGACGAUGAUCUGUAUCCGGCCUGAGAGGGCGCACGGACACACUGGAACUGAAACACGGUCCAGACUCCUACGGGAGGCAGCAGUGGGGAAUUUUGCGCAAUGGGGGAAACCCUGACGCAGCAACGCCGCGUGGAGGAUGAAAUCCCUUGGGAUGUAAACUCCUUUCGAUAGGGAAGAUUAUGACGGUACCUAUAGAAGAAGCCCCGGCUAACUUCGUGCCAGCAGCCGCGG